UCGGCCAUAUCAUGUUGAAACAUUGGUCCUUGCACGAUCACCGAAGGUAACCAACGUCGAGCCUGGUCAGUACCGAGAUGGGUGACCUCUUGAGAAUACCAGGAGCUGUAA
Non-coding RNA from Acanthosepion pharaonis, 111 nucleotides. Lineage: Eukaryota; Metazoa; Mollusca; Cephalopoda; Sepiida; Sepiidae. The record is from the annotation of a GenBank genome assembly.